UACGUAGGGUGCGAGCGGUAAUCGGAAUUACUGGGCGUAAAGCGUGCGCAGGCGGUCUGCUAAGACAGGUGUGAAAUCCCUGGGCUCAACCUAGGAAUUGCGCUUGUGACUGGCGGGCUAGAGUACGGUAGAGGGGGGUGGAAUUCCUGGUGUAGCAGUGAAAUGCGUAGAGAUCAGGAGGAACACCGAUGGCGAAGGCAGCCCCCUGGGCCUGUACUGGAGCUCAGGCACGAAAGCGUGGGGAGCAAACAGG
Molecule: ribosomal RNA, 253 nt
Filed under: uncultured bacterium
Lineage: Bacteria
Description: partial 16S ribosomal RNA
Rfam family: Bacterial small subunit ribosomal RNA
Source: RNAcentral